ACUCAAAGGAAUUGACGGGAUCCCGCACAAGCAGUGGAGUAUGUGGUUUAAUUCGACGCAACGCGAAGAACCUUACCAGGACUUGACAUCCAAAGAAUCCGGCGUAAUGGCCGGAGUGCCCUUCGGGGAGCUUUGAGACAGGUGGUGCAUGGUUGUCGUCAGCUCGUGUCGUGAGAUGUUGGGUUAAGUCCCGCAACGAGCGCAACCCUUACCUUUAGUUGCUACGCAAGAGCACUCUAGAGGGACUGCCGUUGACAAAACGGAGGAAGGUGGGGACGACGUCAAAUCAUCAUGCCCCUUACGUUCUGGGCUACACACGUACUACAAUGGCGUAAACAAAGGGAAGCGAAGCCGCGAGGCGGAGCAAACCCCAAAAAGACGUCCCAGUUCGGACUGUAGGCUGCAACCCGCCUGCACGAAGUUGGAAUUGCUAGUAAUCGUAGGUCAGCAUACUACGGUGAAUACGUUCCCGGGAUUUGCACACACCGCCCGU
Molecule: ribosomal RNA, 493 nt
Filed under: uncultured bacterium
Lineage: Bacteria
Description: bacterial SSU rRNA
Rfam family: Bacterial small subunit ribosomal RNA
Source: RNAcentral